RNAcentral lists this ribosomal RNA (301 nucleotides) under uncultured bacterium. RNAcentral's name for it is "partial 16S ribosomal RNA". It matches the Rfam family "Bacterial small subunit ribosomal RNA", at positions 509 to 807 of the family's 1533-position model. The record is from RNAcentral.
CAGCAGCCGCGGGAAUACGUAGGUGGCAAGCGUUGUCCGGAAUUAUUGGGCGUAAAGGGCUCGCAGGCGGUUUCUUAAGUCUGAUGUGAAAGCCCCCGGCUCAACCGGGGAGGGUCAUUGGAAACUGGGAAACUUGAGUGCAGAAGAAGAGAGUGGAAUUCCACGUGUAGCGGUGAAAUGCGUAGAGAUGUGGAGGAACACCAGUGGCGAAGGCGACUCUCUGGUCUGGUAUUGACGCUGAGGUGCGAAAGCGUGGGGAGCAAACAGGAUUAGAUACCCCUGUAGUCCCUGUCUCUUAUAC